Podarcis lilfordi (Lilford's wall lizard) is the source of this 1197-nucleotide non-coding RNA. NCBI's taxonomy places the organism in Eukaryota, Metazoa, Chordata, Lepidosauria, Squamata, Lacertidae. The record is from the annotation of a GenBank genome assembly.
UGCAAAGCUGAGCACAUGGAGAUGCCGAACAUUUGCACACCUUCCUUAAAUCCAUUUCCCUCCCUCUCUCCCUUCGCAGCUCCUCCAUCGUUCUCAGUGGACUUGCGUUUCGACUUCGGGUUUGGCACGAAACUUGGGUGGAUGUGAAGGUUUUCCUGGCUCCGCUCUUUGAUUCCUGAACUGCCCACAGCCCUGGUUGUCUGCCCAGAUGGAGUCUGGUACGUGAGGCAGCGGGGGAAAGCGCUUGAACUCUUGAGACAAAAGCUACAAACAAGCAACCGACGGCGGGGUCCAGAAAGAGCCAGGGCACAACCUCAGUCUGUCCUCAGCCAGCCCUCACCUGCUGCCUUUCUUAGUUGCCCACCAGUCGAGAGGGUAGCCCUGGCUGUCAGACUUCGUCCUCCCGAGUCUCUGUUUCGCCCUUGCAGAUCUCAGCAGGGAAGGGACAGUUCUGCCUGUCUCUAGCGCCACCUACUGUUGGGCUCCCUGCUUUCUGCCCCACCAGACGCAAGAUAGAUAAUUUAUUAUGGUCGGAGACCAGCUUAUAAAACACACUUGGGGGUACAAUCCCAGAAGGGAAACAAACAUUUAAAACAAUAUACAACAAUAAAUUUAAAAUUUAUAAAUGUGACAAGCGUAUAGACACUUAAAACUUUAAGAUAAGCUACCGCAGGGAGAUGACCCAAGGUCACCCAUGGAACCGAGUUUGGGGAUUUUCUUAACAAACUAGUUUGGGUUAGGGGAUGGUCUGCCCCUACAGAUCUGUACACAGAAUCUGGCCACCAGACCCAAUUGGCACCAGACUCUACUGGCUAGCAUUCCAAGGGCAUAGAGUAGUACACACUACCUGUAGACCUGCUUGCAACCCAACUUAGGCAGGUAUUCCAGAAGAAAACAGACAGAGAAGCUCUUCAAGGGAGGUGCAAGGCCCCAUUCACUUCACCAAGAGUGGGGGCUCCAACUCCCUGCAAUGUUUGCCUUUUCUUCCAGGCUAUCUUCUGACCCACAAAGGUUGUUGCAUCUCUUCCCUUUCUGUUGCCACUAUCCAUCAGCUUGCCUCUUCUUCUGGGCCAAAUCCAUGCCACCUACCAGAGAGUGGUAUGUGUGUGUACAUGGGUUCCAGAGAUUUCUGCUUCUUCCUCUUACAGAACCUAUAGAAUCAUAAAGUUGGAAGGGACCACAGGAUAUUCUAAGCCC